RNAcentral lists this long non-coding RNA (1773 nucleotides) under Eutrema salsugineum. RNAcentral's name for it is "long non-coding RNA (ESAL_LNC000722)". Lineage: Eukaryota; Viridiplantae; Streptophyta; Magnoliopsida; Brassicales; Brassicaceae. The record is from RNAcentral.
AAAUUUGUAUCAAAAAGAAGUCUUGUCGAUUAAAUUUGUCUACCAGUUAAGAUUUCAAGUCGAUCGAGAUUGUGAUGAUGAUUGUCAAUUGUUGUAAAAAAAAUCAGAACUUAGAGCUCUUACGAGACGAGCCAUUGUUGGAGAGAACAUAAUUGCACAAUCUCGUUCCGAUAGACACGAACCUGCUUCACAAGAAUCUCGUUCGUCUCAGCCAACAGAGAAGAAUAUGAUAACGGUGAUCGUGAAGAAAAAAAGAAUAACUUGGUAAUUUUCCACUUAAACUUAAGUAAACUAACGGUUAAUUUAGUCUUCUUCCAAAAUGAAUGGGUUAUUUUUUAGAAGAUUAAGUUUUUUUUUAGCUAUUUUUAUUAAUUUUCAAUUAAUUAAAGGAAAAAUCACAUUUUUAACCUCCAAAGUUGAAGUUACUAGCACUUUAAACCUUUAAACCUUGAAACUUUUACUCUCACACAUUAAACCUUCAAACUAAUUAAACUCUCACUUAAAACUCUUAAAUUAGUAAAUUAGUUUGUUUUGCCAGAAAAUUGACCGGAAGUAUUGGUUUCCAGGUAAAUAGUGAUGACUUGUCUAAUUUUUUUAAUUUUUAACUAUUAUUUUAAUUUGUUUAUUUUAAUUAAAAAAUAAAAAGAAAUACAAUAAACAAAAUCUUCGUAUCGUCUUCUCCUUGGACUCUCUGAUCUUAAUUUCAGGAUGACGACACUUCGUUAAUGAUACCAUCGGGAACUCCGCCGUCACCACGACUACCAUUGUGGUGGCCUGCGUUAUUGUUGUUAGUUUCGCCGGCGGGAAUCGAAGCGUGGUUUCCUCCUCUGCCAUUAUCGAUUUAUCGGAUCUAGGCGGCUUCAACAACAUAGAACGGAUAAUCGCGGCGGUCGAAGAUGUUUUUAUUGUUGUGUAUCCAGACUUCAAUAAAGCUUUUGACGAAUCCAAGCUCACAGCAGAAAUCUUGACCAUCUUCGUCGUGUUUAUGUAUCUCUCAACGAACUCGAUCGGCGAAUUCGUCCAAUUUCUAUCUCUGAAAUUGGCUGAAUUUCGUUCAUAAUCGCGUACAAGAUCAGAUUGGGUGGUGGUAAUUGUUGUGCCAAAGACAAUGAGAUCAAAGAAAGUUAGGAUUCGUUUCGGAGAGAAGUUGAAUUGGUGGAGUCGUGGAGAUUGACGAUGGAAACGGCAUGAAUCUGGUGGGUUGGAGUUUCCUUCCACUCAUUUAGUAUUUUUGUAUUUUGUUUGCUAGAAAAAUAAUUAAAAAUAAUUUUUUUUCAAAAAAAUAAAUUUUCACACACAUCACCAUUUUUUACCUGGAACACAAUACUUCCGGUCAUUCUUCUCGCAAAACAACAUAAAUUACUAAUUUGAUGGUUUUAAGUGAGAGUAUAAUUAGAGGUUUACAGUGAUAAUAACUUUAACUUUGAAGGUUUAAAAUGUGAUUUUCCCAUUAAUUAAAUAAACCUUUCAAAAUUUUAUUAGAUUAAUGAGUUCAUAGACCAAUGUUUUUUUCUAUACCCCAUAGGCACGCACGACCCUGUGGUAAUAUAUCUAAAAGAACACAUUAUCUUGAAGAUCAAAACUUGAUAUAAUUUGGAUCAUUACUGAGAUCUGAGGUUGAUUUACUAUAGAGUGCAAAAACACACACAGAACCAAAAAAGACCCAUCUUAUACACCAAUCAUCCCUUGUUUAGAAAAUAAACCUCGUCCAUCAAUGUUCUGUAAUUUCUCUCACCCAUCACAGGAUCCCUUUUCUUCCAUUCCUCAAGCAGC